This 265-nucleotide ribosomal RNA is filed under the name uncultured bacterium. RNAcentral describes it as "partial 16S ribosomal RNA". It matches the Rfam family "Bacterial small subunit ribosomal RNA", at positions 92 to 354 of the family's 1533-position model. The record is from RNAcentral.
CGACCGGCGCACGGGUGAGUAACACGUAUGCGACCUGCCCGUAGCAGGGGAUAAGCGGAAGAAAUUCCGUCUAAUACCGCGUAAUAUCUUUCGGGGGCAUCCCUGAGGGAUUAAAGGAAGCGAUUCCGGCUACGGAUGGGCAUGCGGCGCAUUAGCUAGUCGGCGGGGUAACGGCCCACCGAGGCGACGAUGCGUAGGGGUUCUGAGAGGAAGGUCCCCCACACUGGUACUGAGACACGGACCAGACUCCUACGGAAGGCAGCAG